RNAcentral lists this ribosomal RNA (2514 nucleotides) under Triticum aestivum (bread wheat). RNAcentral's name for it is "partial small subunit ribosomal RNA". Lineage: Eukaryota; Viridiplantae; Streptophyta; Magnoliopsida; Poales; Poaceae. The record is from RNAcentral.
AUGAGCAUAAACAUUUUUUUUGCAAGUAGUUCAAGAACUCCUCGUGUCGAACCUGAUCCUAUCCCAGCCAGUCCACUGAUCCCAGCGAAUGUGAACCCAGAUCCCCUUUCCCUGGCUGUAGUGACCAUAGUUCCUACUUCAACUAAUGAGAGACCUGAUCCCUCAAUUCCAAGCAAUGAAAGAAAUGACACCACAUUUGAUGAGAGUACAAACCAACCAAGAAUGCCUAUACUAGAAUCUCAUCCAAGUCAAAUUAUUGUUGAUCCAGGACUUAGAAUACCAAUAGAAGAUUAUGCCCCUGAAAUUAGAAGUGAUGUGAGAAGAGCUUAUUUGUUGAACAAGAGAAACAAAGCUAUUGGGCAUAAAUUCAAGAAGACAAAGGAUGGUAAAAUUGGGAGAUCCAUUCAGCGUGCGUGGUUUGACAAUUUUGAUUGGUUGGAAUAUAGUGUGGAUAAGGAGGUUGCGUUUUGCUUUCAUUGCUUCCUUUUCAAGAAACCAUCCCAAGCCAUUAGAUUUGGCAAUGAUGUAUUCACAAAAAAUGGGUACACUCGUUGGAAAACAGGUUUAGAUAGUUUGAAAGUUGGUGGCCAAUCUAGUUACCACAACACAUCUAGGGGAGAUUGUGAUGAUUUCAACAAUCAACGAGCAAGUGUGGCUACCAAAUUCCGAGUGUACAGCAAAGAGGCUGAGAUAUCUUAUAAAAUCCUCCUAACUACAUCAUUGGAUUGUGCAAGGUAUCUCAUAGCACAAGGUGAAGCUUUUCGUGGGCACGAUGAAUCCUCCACUUCCAUCCAGGGCAAUUUUAGAGAGUUAUUGGAUUGGUAUAAGGACAAGAAGGAAGAUGUGAAGGAUGCAUUUGAUAAGGGGGCUGGAAAUGUACAAAUGAUUUGUUCUGGCAUCCAAAAGAACCUUGCUACAGCUCGUGCGAUGGAGGUAACCAAAGUUAUUAAGAAUGACAUUGGAGAUAAGAAUUUCUCAAUACUUAUUGAUGAGGCUAGAGAUUGUUCAAUAAAGGAGCAAAUGGCGCUGAUUUUGAGAUUUCUAGAUGAUCAUGGAGUGCUCCAAGUCCUUUCCAUUAAGCACAUCACAGAUUGCACAUUAGCUGGAAUUAAAGACGCUUUAGUUGAUGUGUUGGAAUAUCAUGGUUUGUCAAUUUCCUGGCUAUGUGGUUAGGGUUAUGAUGGGGCUUCAAAUAUGAGAGGGGAGUUCAAUGGUUUGCAAAAAAUGGUUAGAGAUGAAGCUCCGUAUGCAUUCUAUGUUCAUUGCUUUGCUCACCAGUUACAAUUGGUGGUUGUCACUGUUGCUCAAUGUAGUCCUGCUAUUGCUGAUUUCUUCAAUUAUAUUCCCUUGAUAGUGACUCAAGUGUGUUCAUCUUGUAAAAGCAAAGAUGCAUUACUUGCCAAACAUCAAGAUGAAUUGUUAGAUUUAAUGGAGAAUGGAAAGAUUUCAGCCGGUACCGGGUUGCAUCAAGAAUCUAACAUAACAAGACCAGGAGAUACUCGUUGGGCCUCACACCUCAAAACCUUGCUUCGUAUAUUCACAAUGUGGAAUGAUGUGGUGGAUGUGCUAGGAAUUGUUGUGGCUGAUGCUCGGGAACACACAUGCCAAUGUGGAGCUAGAGGUUUGCUUAAAAACAUGGAAUGCUUUGAAUUUGUGUUCAUCAUGUUCUUCUUAAUAAACUUGUUGAGCAACACAAAUCAACUAUCCCAAGCUUUGCAAAGGAAGAAUCAAAAUAUUGUUGAGGCCAUGCGUUUGAUCUUGGAUGUGAAAGAAAGCUUGCAGGACAUGAGGGAAAAUUGUUGGGAGCCUUUAUUUUGCCAAGCCAAGAACUUUUGUGAAACACGUGGUAUUGAUGUGCCAAACGUGGAUGAUCUUGUUGGAACAAUGGGCCAAUCUGUUCGCACUAAGAAUAAGGUGACUCGACUUCACUAUUACGAGGUUAGCAUAUUCAAUGUUGCCAUUGAUGCAACUAUCACUGAGAUGAAUCACCGAUUCAAUGAAGUUUCCACCGAGUUAUUAGAUUGCAUGUCUUGUCUUAAUCCAGCAAACAACUUUGCAAAGUUUGACGUUGACAAACUUAUUCGUCUUGCUGAAAUUUAUGAUGAGGACUUCACAGAAGCUGACCGGUUGUUGCUAAUAGUACACCUCCCCAGAUUCCUUAUGAACAUUAGGAAAAGUGAUGAAUUUAAUGGAUGCUGAGAUAUGUCCACACUUUCUCGUUUGAUGGUUGAAACAACGAAACACACAACUUUCCAUUUGGUAUAUCGCCUCAUUGAGUUGACACUCAUUCUUCAUGUAGCAACUUCAUCAGUUGAGCGAAUAUUUUCAGCAAUGAAGAUCAUCAAGACAGAUUUGCACAACAAACUAUUAGAUGAUUGGCUAAAUUAUUUAAUGGUGUGCUAUUGUGAGAAAGAGAUAUUCAGAAGCAUUCACGAUGACAAAAUCAUGAUACAAUUUCAGAAAAUGAGUGAUCAGAAAGAACAUUUGCCUUAUGAUUUUAAUGUCAUUCCUUAG